RNAcentral lists this ribosomal RNA (253 nucleotides) under uncultured bacterium. RNAcentral describes it as "partial 16S ribosomal RNA". It matches the Rfam family "Bacterial small subunit ribosomal RNA", at positions 524 to 776 of the family's 1533-position model. The record is from RNAcentral.
UACGAAGGUCCCAAGCGUUAUCCGGAUUUAUUGGGUUUAAAGGGUGCGUAGGCGGGCUAUUAAGUCAGUGGUGAAAGCCCCAAGCUUAACUUGGGAACUGCCAUUGAUACUGAUGGUCUUGAGUACAUUUGAGGUGGGCGGAAUGUGUCAUGUAGCGGUGAAAUGCUUAGAUAUGACACAGAACACCGAUUGCGAAGGCAGCUCACUAAGCAAAUAUUGACGCUGAGGCACGAAAGCGUGGGGAUCAAACAGG